RNAcentral lists this ribosomal RNA (301 nucleotides) under uncultured bacterium. Its description in RNAcentral is "partial 16S ribosomal RNA". It matches the Rfam family "Bacterial small subunit ribosomal RNA", at positions 509 to 807 of the family's 1533-position model. The record is from RNAcentral.
CAGUAGCCACGGUAAUACGUAGGUGGCAAGCGUUGUCCGGAAUUAUUGGGCGUAAAGGGCUCGCAGGCGGUUUCUUAAGUCUGAUGUGAAAGCCCCCGGCUCAACCGGGGGGGGUCAUUGGAAACUGGGAAACUUGAGUGCAGAAGAGGAGAGUGGAAUUCCGCGUGUAGCGGUGAAAUGCGUAGAGAUGUGGAGGAACACCAGUGGCGAAGGCGACUCUCUGGUCUGUAACUGACGCUGAGGAGCGAAAGCGUGGGGAGCGAACAGGAUUAGAUACCCCGGUAGUCCCUGUCUCUUAUAC